RNAcentral lists this transfer RNA (76 nucleotides) under Gammaproteobacteria bacterium. RNAcentral describes it as "tRNA-Ala". It matches the Rfam family "tRNA". Rfam says of the family: Transfer RNA (tRNA) molecules are approximately 80 nucleotides in length. Their secondary structure includes four short double-helical elements and three loops (D, anti-codon, and T loops). Further hydrogen bonds mediate the characteristic L-shaped molecular structure. tRNAs have two regions of fundamental functional importance: the anti-codon, which is responsible for specific mRNA codon recognition, and the 3' end, to which the tRNAs corresponding amino acid is attached (by aminoacyl-tRNA synthetases). tRNAs cope with the degeneracy of the genetic code in two manners: having more than one tRNA (with a specific anti-codon) for a particular amino acid; and 'wobble' base-pairing, i.e. permitting non-standard base-pairing at the 3rd anti-codon position. RNAcentral also lists the same sequence under 4 other names. Lineage: Bacteria; Pseudomonadati; Pseudomonadota; Gammaproteobacteria. The record is from RNAcentral.
GGGGCUAUAGCUCAGCUGGGAGAGCGCUUCGCUGGCAGCGAAGAGGUCAGGAGUUCGAUCCUCCUUAGCUCCACCA